RNAcentral lists this ribosomal RNA (511 nucleotides) under uncultured organism. Its description in RNAcentral is "SSU rRNA". It matches the Rfam family "Bacterial small subunit ribosomal RNA", at positions 10 to 509 of the family's 1533-position model. The record is from RNAcentral.
AGUUUGAUCCUGGACUCAGGAUGAACGCUAGCUACAGGCUUAACACAUGCAAGUCGAGGGGCAGCAUGGGAGUUGCUUGCAAUUCCUGAUGGCGACCGGCGCACGGGUGAGUAACGCGUAUCCAACCUUCCCUUAGUAGGGCAUAGCCCGUAGAAAUGCGGAUUAAUACCCUAUGUUGUUCGUAGAUGACAUCAGAAAUGAACCAAAGACUUGUCGCUAAGGGAUGGGGAUGCGUCUGAUUAGGUAGUCGGCGGGGUAACGGCCCACCGAGCCGUCGAUCAGUAGGGGUUCUGAGAGGAAGGUCCCCCACAUUGGAACUGAGACACGGUCCAAACUCCUACGGGAGGCAGCAGUGAGGAAUAUUGGGCAAUGGGGGCAACCCUGACCCAGCCAUGCCGCGUGAGGGAAUGAGGCCCUACGGGUCGUGAACCUCUUUUAUUCGGGGACAAGGACGCGCACGAGAUGCGCGUUUGAGGGUACCGAAGAAAUAAGCGUCGGCUAACUCCGUGCC